AUGUUCGCUUCAGCAGUACACGUACUAAGAUUGGAACAACACAGAGAAGGUUGGCAUGGUCCCUGCACAAAGAUGAUAUGCAAAUUUGUGAGUCAUUCCAUAUAUAU
Molecule: small nuclear RNA, 107 nt
Organism: Nannospalax galili (Upper Galilee mountains blind mole rat)
Lineage: Eukaryota; Metazoa; Chordata; Mammalia; Rodentia; Spalacidae
Source: Ensembl